CCUACGGGGGGCAGCAGUAGGGAAUAUUGGACAAUGGGAGCAAUCCUGAUCCAGCGACGCCGCGUGAGUGACGAAGGCCUUCGGGUCGUAAAGCUCUGUUGUACGGGAAAUUGUACUGUAUAAGAAAGGACCGGCUAACUUCGUGCCAGCAGCCGCGGUAAGACGAGGGGUCCUAGCGUUGUUCGGAAUCAUUGGGCGUAAAGCGUAUGUAGGCGGCUUUUCAAGUCAGAUGUGAAAUCCCAUGGCUUAACCAUGGAACUGCAUUUGAAACUGUAGAGCUUGAGUAUUGGAGAGGAUGGUAGAAUUCCUGGUGUAGUGGUGAAAUACGUAGAUAUCAGGAGGAAUACCGGUGGCGAAGGCGGCCAUCUGGCCAAAACUGACGCUGAGAUACGAAAGUGUGGGGAUCAAACAGGAUUAGAUACCCUUGUAGUC
RNAcentral lists this ribosomal RNA (432 nucleotides) under uncultured bacterium. RNAcentral describes it as "partial 16S ribosomal RNA". It matches the Rfam family "Bacterial small subunit ribosomal RNA", at positions 338 to 795 of the family's 1533-position model. The record is from RNAcentral.